This 448-nucleotide ribosomal RNA is filed under the name uncultured Desulfarculaceae bacterium. RNAcentral describes it as "bacterial SSU rRNA". It matches the Rfam family "Bacterial small subunit ribosomal RNA", at positions 931 to 1382 of the family's 1533-position model. Lineage: Bacteria; Pseudomonadati; Thermodesulfobacteriota; Desulfarculia; Desulfarculales; Desulfarculaceae. The record is from RNAcentral.
AGCGGAGCAUGUGGUUUAAUUCGAAGCAACGCGAAGAACCUUACCAGGUCUUGACAUCCCUCUGAAUGGCGCUUAGCAGCGCAGGUCCUUCGGGACAGAGUGACAGGUGCUGCAUGGCUGUCGUCAGCUCGUGUCGUGAGAUGUUGGGUUAAGUCCCGCAACGAGCGCAACCCUUGUCUCUAGUUGCCAGUAUUAAGUUAGGGACUCUAGAGAGACUGCCUCGGUUAACGGGGAGGAAGGUGGGAUGACGUCAAGUCCUCAUGGCCUUUAUACCCAGGGCUACACACGUGCUACAAUGGGCUGCACAAAGGGUCGCUAGCUCGCGAGAGUGCGCUAAUCCCAAAAAGCAGUUCUCAGUUCGGAUUGGAGUCUGCAACUCGACUCCAUGAAGUUGGAAUCGCUAGUAAUCGUGGAUCAGCACGCCACGGUGAAUACGUUCCCUGGCCUU